RNAcentral lists this ribosomal RNA (635 nucleotides) under uncultured Verrucomicrobiota bacterium. RNAcentral describes it as "bacterial SSU rRNA". It matches the Rfam family "Bacterial small subunit ribosomal RNA", at positions 70 to 680 of the family's 1533-position model. Lineage: Bacteria; Pseudomonadati; Verrucomicrobiota. The record is from RNAcentral.
UAGGGGGUAGCAAUAUUCCCUAGUUGGAGUGGCGCAAGGGUGCGUAACACGUGGGCAAUCUGCCGUGAAGACUGGGAUAACUCGCUGAAAGGCGAGCUAAUACCGGAUGUGACUGUUGGGAAGCAUUUUCUGACAUUCAAAGCUGGGGACCCGCAAGGGCCUGGCGCUUUACGAUGAGCCCGCGGCCUAUCAGCUAGUUGGUGAGGUAACGGCCCACCAAGGCUAAGACGGGUAGCUGGUCUGAGAGGACGACCAGCCACACUGGAACUGAGACACGGUCCAGACACCUACGGGUGGCAGCAGUCGAGAAUUUUUCACAAUGGGCGCAAGCCUGAUGGAGCGACGCCGCGUGGGGGAUGAAGGGUUUCGAUCCGUAAACCCCUGUCAUUUGCGAACAAACCUGGUGCAAUAACACUGUACUAGUUGAUUGUAGCGGAAGAGGAAGGGACGGCUAACUCUGUGCCAGCAGCCGCGGUAAUACAGAGGUCCCAAGCGUUGUUCGGAUUCACUGGGCGUAAAGGGUGCGUAGGUGGCCGUGGAAGUUCGGUGUGAAAGCUCGGAGCUCAACUCCGAAAUGGCAUUGAAUACUCUACGGCUGGAGGGUCGGAGGGGAGACUGGAAUUCUCGGUGUAGCA